Long non-coding RNA from Dunckerocampus dactyliophorus (ringed pipefish), 8641 nucleotides. RefSeq lists it as uncharacterized. Lineage: Eukaryota; Metazoa; Chordata; Actinopteri; Syngnathiformes; Syngnathidae. The record is from RefSeq and is a predicted model, not a curated record. The transcript is spliced from 3 exons.
UCCUGGGCCAAUGGCGCACGACGCAGCCUGGUCGCAGUGUGCGCGCCUGGCCAAUGGCGCACGCCCCCCCGGCUCACAUGACGCCUUUCUAUACGUUCUCUCUCCUCUCAGCUCUCAAACGCGGCGAGCCCAGACAUCAUUGCAGACUUGUCACCGGCUGAACCGGACGUCCAGCAUCUACGGUGUGCAGUGACGAUAUGUGCUUUUCUUUUUUCUAUUUUCAAAAAAAGAAAUAAAUCAGCAACAUAAAGAAGAGCACAUGAUGACUCUCACUGCAGAGGAAGGACGCACUUUUUCCGCCAGCAGACGACCGGAGGCGCAUGGGGGCGAGAUAAAAACGCCCAUAAGUUGCUGAAAUGAAUCGUCCUGAAUGGGGCUGCCAUUAGAGGAAGAAACAAGAACAAGUGCCUCUAACCUGAAGCACUCGGGGGGAGGCAGGGAAGCCCCAGAGCAGAACACGACAAGAAAAAGACAAGAGUGAUGAGAGAGAGGUCCAGACAUGAUGGAGGCACAAGCAUGCACACAACGGCACCUUCGGUCUGUCUGUGGUCUACCGCCUGGAUACUCCCCCCCACGCCCAACCAAGUCUGCAUUUGUCCCCGCACGUCACACACACCCUUGCCUUUUGGCCAUACAGUAAGAUGGAUAAAUGUGAAUAUGAGAAAACAUGCCUAAAAGGUUCAACGAAAACCGAAACAUGAGAAAACCAAGGCAAUUUUUCCCAUAGGAAAUAAGGUAAAUCCAAUUAAACUGUUCCAGACACCAAAAAAUAUGAACAAACAAUAAAUUUUAUAGAGAAUAAUUAUAGUUUUACAUGCAGAAAACAAUGUGAAAUAAAUGUAAAUGACGAAUGGAUGGAACUAGCAGUCACACUCGCAGUCAGCAACACGUAGGGUGCUUUGUUUGCGCACUCGAAUUCGCGGGAGCAUAAAGCUCAGGGACUAAUUUGCCAAGUGUAAUACAGUACGAAAGCCGAGACAGUGUACGAAAACAGAGGCAAAAUUCUGGGAAAAAUUUGCCGAAAAAACAAAUCAUAGGGUGUGCUAAAACCGAGGUUCCACGAAAUCAUCUUGCACGGCGAAUCACAAUUUAUUUACAAUGAAACGUGUCUCUUUUAAGACAGUAAUUCAGCGUCAUUUUGCAUAUGGCGUAAUUACGCCUGCACAGGCUUCAGCCUUCAAGCGUGUGUGAAUGUUCAUGUGCGUGCUUCAUCUCUUCUAUUUCUAGCAGUCCAAACCAAUCUCCUCGAGUUUAACAGCUGCACCGCAUAUCCCGCAAACCCCCCUUAACAGACCCCCGCCACACCACCCCCUGACCCAACCAGGGCCCCUCCCAAACCUCAGCAUCCUGGACUCUCCCUCCAAAAACACAUGCCCCCAAAUUACGUGUGGGAACCCCUCCUUCCUACUCCGCCGUAAGAUGAGGUCAGACCAGCUAGAAUCUUGUCUGAAAAUAUAUAGAGUAAUAUAUAGAGUAAUAUACAUAUAUAUAUAUAUAUAUAAAAAUAAUAGUUCAGAAAUAGGUUAUUGUUGAAAGCCUUGCUAGUUUCCAUGGGAAGAACUGACACCACUCAGACUCCUUCAGUUGGCCUUUGGCUGAGUAGCUGCUCAUUUCUUCCCGGUCCUGAUGCUCGGCUCGAAUGUGAUUUCUGGCUAUUAAAGCACUCGAGAAUCAGAGGGGAAGGGACUUGCUCUGUUAUUGGGUGCGUCUUAUCCGUGCUGCCAUUUUACUGCAAAAUGCAAAUGACACGGCACGGCUUGUGUUGGCGACUGUAGGGCGCAUUGGCCCGGUGACGAUAAUGACGACGUUAUUAUUCGGCGCCCUGAGGAGUAUUUCUCUGCAUUUUAGGUGUGCAUGCGUGUGAUAGAGAAAGAGAGGGAUAAAGCAAGAGCGGGUACUCUUCCUCCUUCCUCUUCAGACAGCUGAGUGGCUAUUAUUCACUUCUCCCUCACCCGCGCCAGUAUGUUACUCUCCCCUGGCAUCAUUGACUACUGCUCGCUCACACAGACGCACGGCUUUGGUCUCAAGAUGGAGACAUCCUUUGAUAUUAAAGGUUGUAUAAGAUGAGCAAACCAUAAAGUACAUUUUCUAAUCGGUAGAAUGAAGGCGCUCGAUAUUCAGACAGUGUCCAUCAUUUCCUGUGUGUGUAUGUGUCUGUCUGUAAUUGCAGGGCAGCAGAUGAAGAGAGAUGACAGUCCAGCUGUGACGAGUCAGACGAAUUCAACCCACGCACACGCACGCACACACACACACACACACACACACACACACACACACAGCCAGAGGCGCGUGAGCAGGUGAACAUUAAGUCAGGCAACUAAACAGAUCACGUCGCGGGUUGAUAUCAGCAGACAGACAGAGUAGGCCGGUCUGUACCUGCAGGCAGUCAGCAGCACCCUCACCAGGAAUGUCCUCCCACUUGUGAGACUUGCAUGACUUUUCCUGGGCUUUCCUCUCUAACAGCGAAGUGCAAACGGGCUCAUUGUACAGCUGACACUGGCUGUCAAAUUCACACAUUUGCCACUCAAGAUUUGCGCCCCCGCAAAGUCGCGGAUUUUUCAUUAAAAACAUUUUUUAUUUAAAUUUUGUCUCAGAAAAUAUUUUUUCCGCAGAAUCAUUUCUAAAUACGUGAUAAUCCAGAUAAUAUGUACAGCAUACAUGUACCAGCACACAAUUCUGUGUCACAAUCAAAGUGUCAUUGCUAUGGCAACCCCCCCAUUAACUGCUUUAGUGCUCUGUACCAUCAGUGGACCAGCCUGGACCACCGCAUACCUUUUUCAUCACUCAACAAAAAUAUAAAAACAAACACUUUUGGUUUUGCCGACCUCGAAAAUCUAAAACUUUUUCUAUGUACAAAACAAGCAUGAUUAUCACACAGAUUUACCACAAGCUGGCCACAAUAAAAGGCUACUCCAAAAUAUGCAGUUUUACUGUACUGCGGCCAUUUUUAAUUCCACAAACGCACAGCACGACGUGUGACGUUUCCGGGACACAUUGCGUUCACCUUACACCAGUGCUUCUCAAUUAUUUUCUGCCACUAUUUGAGAAGCCUUACACCCACAUACAUACCAGUCGCAUUGUUUUGGGUAACGUGAACAUCCACGUAAAAACAAUAGGCGUCAUACCAUGCAGUGUGAAUGUAGCCUUCGUCAUUCAUGAGCACUGCUACAGAAAAAGACGAAAACAUAACAGGAAAUGAAUUGAAAGAUAAAACUGUUCCCCAGCACCCUUCUGCGGUGUCAUUAGAACUUCAACCUGAGCCAGGAAAAGAAAAGAUGAUUCAUUGACAUUCACAUGCCACUCUGAUAUUGACUACAGGCGCUUCCUUUGUUAUUUUGGAGUAACGUGAUCGUCCUUGUAUGAAUUUGUCUUUCUGGAAUUACGAGGAUGUUUCGACAAGGUCACCAGUAUCUAUUACGAAGACUUGUUCUGCUAGUUGAUUCCACAGAGCACCUUCCAUGUGUAUUUAUUGAUAAUUUACGGUGUAUUGGAAGGAUUUAGCUGGAACCAAGUGUAGGAGCGACUAAAUAAGGAGAGCUAAGAGUGUGACGAUUUUGUAACCUCCACAUCAAUCUUACCAUGCUCUUAUUAAGCAGAUCAGCCAUGUUCUUGUGAACACGUUCUUUUUUGAACACUUCCUCAUCUGUGGUUUUAUGCCUUAUAGAUCGACUGAAAACCUUUUUAUAAGUCUGCUUUUGCGCCUUCACUUAUCCAAAGAUGACUCAGUGGUUAAAUGUCAGAGCUGUCCGUGCCAUUAAGGCCAACAUGUUUGACGGCUGGACACCCUGAACCCUUCCCCCUACUGUCUCUUCUUAUUCCUUCCUCGCCUUCAUCCGCCAUCAUCCAUCUCCCGCACAUCCAGGCUGGUUGGAGGGCUGAUGUGUGUGCAGACCUUGUCAUUCACAUUAGGGCCACAUUGUCAGCUCAGGGCCCUUCCCUCUCUCUCCCUCCCUCUCUCUGCAUGGCCCAGAUCUUUCUUCCUGUCACUCCCGUCCCGCGGCCAGAGAAGACCUUAUAAUGCAACAUCCUUCACAUCCACUUGUCAAUUCCAGCGCUGUCAUUCAAAUCGCGUUACGUGAGAGCGCACAGAGGCCAAGUUUGCAAAGUCGCUCGUAGCGAAGGCCUGUGCGGCAGUGGCAAUUGUGGUCUUGUUUGUGCACCGAGAUAGAAGAUGACGACGCAGGUAAAAAUGAAUGACUCUGAGGCACUAAAAAGUAGUUGUGUCAGUGGGUUAUGUGUGUCGUAUGACCUUAUCAACUUACUCAAUCCUUUGUGUGUUCUUUCUAAGCUUUGCAUACUGCUUAACUGCUGACUCCCUCUUGACUCACCCUUGUAGUUUUCAAUUAGCACAAUAACGCUGUUGCACGGAACACCACAAUCACCUCAGUGUUUUGUAAAACCUUUCAUGCAAGGCGUCGGGCAGUUUUACUAGUUGAAACGCAGCCCUAAGGUUUACAUCAUUGUGAAACCGAUUAUUAAUUUAGUUUACAGUUUCAUCCUCCACCUUGCAAGGGGCCCUUGAGGCAUGAUGGAGCCUCCGAAGAGACCACACCACUACCACACGACGCAUGUUUUCUAAAACCCACUAUGACUCACCAGUUUCAGGAUGACUGCUCUCUCUCGACUGCUACUUUAAGGGAAAUAAAGCCGCCUUCUAAACACCAACAUCAUCAUAAUGAAGCUGUGUCAUCGGAGUUAAGUGUGUACAACACCCAGUGUUGACAUUGCUGGCAUUUAACAGUAAGACAGGCAAAGCCAGUUCUUUGUGCAAUGGAAAACACAGCUUGUAGCGACUCAGUAACAUUUCUUGUUAUAUUUAUAUCAACAUCACAGUUCCUCUCUAUUAAUCCCGUUUCCACUCUUAAUUUGUAGAUUCAGUAGGGAGUGGGUGCGUGCAAGUAUUGUGGGGGUAUAUGCAUAUAUAUGCAAAUGUGUGUCAAAUAAGCUUACUUUGUGUAAAUCUGCGUGGGGGGGGGCGGCAUUUGCACAUAGUGGCAUGAGCCAAUGAAUGUUAAAGUGUGCUAAAAAGCCUCUCAAAGACCAGAGUGCAGGGAACAGAGAAGUUGUGUUUUGUCCGUCUACAGUCACCAUCAGGUGUUUGCUCGCCCCAGUGAACAUUCAACGCUGUCGGUGAGUUUAUCUAAAUUGAAAAAACCAUCGACCGUUGAUUGUACCCUGUAGCAGGCGCUUACUCCAAAAAAAAAAAAAAGAUACUCCUUGAACCAGCAAAGGAAGAACUCUAUGACCCUCGGAAGCAAGACGAUGAUUUUUUUUUUUUUUUUUUUUAAAGAAAAGCAACCACAAAGGUCACAAUCAACAUUCAUUGCUGUCGGUGGGUUUAACUGUAUAGAAGAGCUCACUGAACGAUGAAUGCAACUGUGUCCCAGAUUUCAGCCGACCAUCACAACGAAUAAUGUCAUGAUAUGCUGAUGGUGCCAUUGUUUAUAUCUGUGCCUGCCCCCCCACUGGGCCUUCCACCAAUAACAGGCAAACACAGCCUGCACGAACUGACAGGAAGUUCAGAUUGCAUCUCGAUCACGUUGGCUGUGCUGGAGGGUUUUGUGUCUAGCGGGAGGAGGGGAAUAUCAAAAGGAAAAGAAGAUGCAGAGAUAGUUGGCAAAUAUGACCUAUAAAAGAAAAUUACAUUUACUUAUAGGAUAUAUGAUGUAGUUGCAAAUAUUAGCUAAAAAUAAAAAAAAACAAUUACAUUUAUGGGAUAUAUGAUGUAGUUACAAAUAUUAACUAAAGAAAGCAAGGAAAUGUGCAAGCAAACUGUAUAAUAGAAUGUGCAUUAAACUUUAUAUGACCAUGCCAUUUUUGUUUUGAACCUACAAGUUUGAACAGAUACUUUUGGAUGAAGAAAUAAAUGCUGUACAUGAACAUAAUUACGUUAUUGUUUUUUUGUUUUCUUUAUUUCAUAUGCAUUGUUUGUUGUAUUGGUGUUUAUUUUUAUUAAAUUAUCUCAAAUAAAUACCUUUUUUCAUAAACUGAUUUGGGUUUUUAUUAUUAUUUAACAACUAAACAAUAAAACAUGUUUAAAAAUGUUUUUAAAUGACUGAGCUUGAAUAUACAAUUGAGAAUAAAAUACAUAAACACUGGGUAAUUCAUGUGUGUGUGGGUUUGUCUAAAUUAAAUUACGGUAAUAUAUAUUAUUCAAAAGAAGUGCUUUUGGUAAUGCAUUGGAAUUUUGUACCUCAUCACACACAUAUUACUGUAUUCCUGUUAGUUAUGACUAACUGAAAGAAUACUUUUAUGAAAAUAAUUACCACAAUCUCAAUGAAAUUAUGAGUCAGCAUAUAAACCGUCGACAGAGGGGAAAACAACUUUUAGGCUGCAAUGUUUUUUCUUUACAGUGUGAAAUUGUUAUGUCUACAUACUCUGUCAUAAACAUGUUUUUUCACUGCAUAAGAAAAAAAAUAUUAUAGAUAGAAAAAAUAAUGAAUACAGUAACAGUGGAUGGAAAACAGCAUGAAACCGUUUGUGCUUGAGGUCAAUGAGAGGAAUAAUGCAGGUGAAAGGCCAGCACAAAAGGCCAAAGUAAUAUCGGGUAAAUUAUUACAUAUGACAUGACAUAAAUGUAUGAUCUUUGGCAUGUAUAAAUCCACAAAAUGAUAAUACUUGUAACAGUUUGUCUUGAUAAAAGCAAAAUUUUGUGACUUCCUUUGGCCACUAGAGGGACACAGUACACAGCACAUGCAAGUAAAUGACUCAUCCAGUUCAGGUGUUUUUUUUUUCCUUUAUACAAAUUAAAUGAUAAAACAACAAACAUAAAACAACAAUUCAUAGUCACAUGAAAAGAAAGCUGCUUGUGACUAAUUUAAAAAGCAGCGAGGGUUCAUUUGUCUUUUUGCUGACACUACAAAAUCAUUUUGAAAAUGUUCCAUCAAUGUAGUACAAAAUAAUUGUUUAGCUCAGCCUUCAUCAGCGUACUCUGCUACAAUUAAUGCAGUUAAAUGUUGUUUUUAGAAUGAAUGAUCAGUAAUAGACAUGGAGAAAAGGUAGGCUUAAAUAAAGCCUCGGUCACAACCGAUCGCAGAGGCUCCCACGGCCGGUCUACAUGCAAAAAACACAAGAAAUUCGUAGAGGGCGCCCGUGUGACGUGCUGAUUUUCGAGCCAUAGACUGGCCGCAGUGGUUCUUUGUCAAGUCAAUCAAAUGCUAGGGGCGCUUAUGUUUUUUUUUUCCGUUUGCAAAACAAACUAACACAUUUAGUACGUCCUCGUGUGACACCCGUACGGCCAACAUGUGUCUUUCGUAUGUUUUGCUGGUGUCAGGUUUGGGAAAAAUAUAAAUUUUUUUUGUAUGUCGCAGUUGCGGACGCCGUAUGUGGGGCGCACGACACACAUACAGCGUAAUUAGUCCCCGUUCAGAUAUUUUGUACCCUCUCCAUGCGUGUCGAGUAAGCCGGCCGUGUGUUGUCUGUCCAGCGAGAGUGCAUCAAUUGCACAAAAACCCCGUUACAUAAAACUGCAGGGGUGCCUACGUCAUUUGUACACACUGUGCGGCAUUUUAUGCUUUGUUUUAUAGUAUCUGUAUUUGCAUUUAUUCAUGUAUAUUUGUUUUUUCCUGUUUGCUAUGUUUCUAUCGUGAUACAUACAGUGGUGUGAAAAAGUGCACCCUUCCUGAUGUAUUAUUUUGUUGCAUGUUUGUCACACUUAAAUAUUUCAGAUCAUCAAAUUUAAAUGACAACACAACUGAACACAAAAUGCAGUUUUUAAAUUAAACUUAUUAUUAAGAAGCAAAACGAAUCCAAACCUACAUGGCCUUGUGUGAAAAAGUGAUUGCCCACUAAACCUAAUAACUGGUUGGGCCACCCUUAGCAGCAACAACUGCAAUCAAGCGUUUGUGAUAACUUGCAAUGAGUCUCUUACAGCGCUGUGGAGGAAUUUUGGCCCACUCAUCUUUGCAGAAUUGUUGUCAUUCAGCCACAUUGGAGGGUUUUCCAGCAUGAAGCACCUUUUUAAGGUCAUGUCACAGCAUCUCAAUAGGAUUCAGGUCAGGACUUUGACUAGGCCACUCCAAAGUCUUCAUUUUGUUUUUCUUCAGCCAUUCAGAGGUGGACUUGCUGGUGUGUUUUGGAUCAUUGUCCUGCUGCAGAACCCAAGUUGGUUUCAGCUUAACGUCACCAACAGAUGGAGAAUUCAUGCUUCCAUUUAUCACAGCAAGUCUUCCAGGUGUUGAAGCAGCAAAACAGCCCCAGACCAUCACACUACCACCACCAUAUUUUACUGUUGGUAUGAUGAUCUUUUUCUGAAAUGUGGUGUUACUUUAUACCAGAUGUAAUCACACACACCUUCCAGAAAGUUCAACUUUUGUCUCAUCAGACCACAGAUUUGUAAAUUGAGACCAGCCUUAAUGUUCUUUUUGUUCAGCAGGGGUUUUGGUCUUGAAACUCUGGUUCACCACUGUUCCAUGUUUUGGCCAUUUGUGGCUCUCACUGUGGUUUGCUGGAGUCCCAAAGCUCUAGAAACAUUUUUUUUUUCCCAGUUUUUCACACCACUGUAUGUACUGUAUAUUUAUAAAAUAUGUUGAUUCCUGUUGCAAUGCAUAUUAUUUCCGUGAAUGGAUAUGACGUAUACGCCUCUGGUGCAUCUGUGCAUGUGCUCCGUGAGGUACGAUGAAUAAAGACGAUCUACAUGCUG